GCUUGCUCCCGGAUGUUAGCGGCGGACGGGUGAGUAACACGUGGGUAACCUGCCUGUAAGACUGGGAUAACUCCGGGAAACCGGAGCUAAUACCGGAUAGUUCCUUGAACCGCAUGGUUCAAGGAUGAAAGACGGUUUCGGCUGUCACUUACAGAUGGACCCGCGGCGCAUUAGCUAGUUGGUGAGGUAACGGCUCACCAAGGCGACGAUGCGUAGCCGACCUGAGAGGGUGAUCGGCCACACUGGGACUGAGACACGGCCCAGACUCCUACGGGAGGCAGCAGUAGGGAAUCUUCCGCAAUGGACGAAAGUCUGACGGAGCAACGCCGCGUGAGUGAUGAAGGUUUUCGGAUCGUAAAGCUCUGUUGUUAGGGAAGAACAAGUGCAAGAGUAACUGCUUGCACCUUGACGGUACCUAACCAGAAAGCCACGGCUAACUACGUGCCAGCAGCCGCGGUAAUACGUAGGUGGCAAGCGUUGUCCGGAAUUAUUGGGCGUAAAGGGCUCGCAGGCGGUUUCUUAAGUCUGAUGUGAAAGCCCCCGGCUCAACCGGGGAGGGUCAUUGGAAACUGGGAAACUUGAGUGCAGAAGAGGAGAGUGGAAUUCCACGUGUAGCGGUGAAAUGCGUAGAGAUGUGGAGGAACACCAGUGGCGAAGGCGACUCUCUGGUCUGUAACUGACGCUGAGGAGCGAAAGCGUGGGGAGCGAACAGGAUUAGAUACCCUGGUAGUCCACGCCGAAACGAUGAGUGCUAAGUGU
This 759-nucleotide ribosomal RNA is filed under the name Bacillus altitudinis. RNAcentral describes it as "bacterial SSU rRNA". It matches the Rfam family "Bacterial small subunit ribosomal RNA", at positions 78 to 823 of the family's 1533-position model. Lineage: Bacteria; Bacillati; Bacillota; Bacilli; Caryophanales; Bacillaceae. The record is from RNAcentral.